GNAGGGGGCAAGCGUUAUCCGGACNUACUGGGUGUAAAGGGAGUGUAGGUGGCCAGGCAAGUCAGAAGUGAAAGCCCGGGGCNCAACCCCGGGACUGCUUUUUGAAACUGCAGGGCUAGAGUGCAGGAGGGGCAAGUGGAAUNCCUAGUGUAGCGGUGAAAUGCGUAGAUAUUAGGAGGAACACCAGUGGCGAAGGCGGCUUGCUGGACUGUAACUGACACUGAGGCUCGAAAGCGUGGGGAGCAAACAGGAUUAGAUACCCUGGUAGUCCACGCCCUAAACGAUGUCUACUGGUUGUUGGGGUUUUUUAACCUUGGUAACGAAGCUAACGCGUGAAGUAGACCGCCUGGGGAGU
This 355-nucleotide ribosomal RNA is filed under the name uncultured bacterium. RNAcentral describes it as "bacterial SSU rRNA". It matches the Rfam family "Bacterial small subunit ribosomal RNA", at positions 527 to 881 of the family's 1533-position model. The record is from RNAcentral.